Long non-coding RNA from Nematolebias whitei (Rio pearlfish), 413 nucleotides. RefSeq lists it as uncharacterized. Lineage: Eukaryota; Metazoa; Chordata; Actinopteri; Cyprinodontiformes; Rivulidae. The record is from RefSeq and is a predicted model, not a curated record. The transcript has 6 exons.
ACUUUCAUCACAAAUGCAGCUGUACGAGAUAUCAUCUUGAGCACAACUUUGACAGCUCUCGAACCUCAUUUAGUCAACUUUGAACCAGAAGACUAUCAGCUGUGGAUCCAGGAUUAUCUUUUUCCAUUGCUACCAAGCCUCCAUCCUGAUAGCUUGCGGGUGAUCCCAAGUAACAUCAGCUGUGCGUCCUAUGAAGCUAUACACACCGGACUUCUGGCAAGUUUGCAGUUCCUGCCACUGGAUCUUUCGGUGGAUGUGAGAUCAAGCGUAGAGUCCCUCAAACAGACAUUCCCACGUUGUUCAGUACCUGAUUCUUUUACGUGCAAGAAGACACCUGUCGAUGAGAGCCACAUCUGUGCUGCAGUCAAUGGAUCACAACUCCAGCAAACACUGGCAACUGACGCGUCGUCCAC